This 466-nucleotide ribosomal RNA is filed under the name uncultured bacterium. RNAcentral's name for it is "bacterial SSU rRNA". It matches the Rfam family "Bacterial small subunit ribosomal RNA", at positions 355 to 834 of the family's 1533-position model. The record is from RNAcentral.
UGGGGAAUAUUGCACAAUGGGCGCAAGCCUGAUGCAGCAAUGCCGCGUGAGUGAAGACGGCCUUAGGGUUGUAAAACUCUUUCGCUAGGGAAGAUAAUGACGGUACCUAGUAAAGAAGUCCCGGCUAACUCCGUGCCAGCAGCCGCGGUAAUACGGAGGGGGUUAGCGUUGUUCGGAAUUACUGGGCGUAAAGCGCACGUAGGCGGACCAGAAAGUUGGGGGUGAAAUCCCGGGGGCUCAACCCCGGAACUGCCUCCAAAACUAUUGGUCUAGAGUUCGAGAGAGGUGAGUGGAAUUCCAAGUGUAGAGGUGAAAUUCGUAGAUAUUUGGAGGAAUCACCAGUGGCGUAAGGCGGCUCACUGGCUCGAUACUGACGCUGAGGUGCGAAAGUGUGGGGAGCAAACAGGAUUAGAUACCCUGGUAGUCCACACCGUAAAACGAUGAAUGCCAGUCGUCGGGUAGCAUG